Molecule: ribosomal RNA, 492 nt
Filed under: uncultured bacterium
Lineage: Bacteria
Description: partial 16S ribosomal RNA
Rfam family: Bacterial small subunit ribosomal RNA
Source: RNAcentral
AGUGAACGCUGGCGGUAGGCCUAACACAUGCAAGUCGAACGGCAGCACAGUAAGAGCUUGCUCUUACGGGUGGCGAGUGGCGGACGGGUGAGGAAUACAUCGGAAUCUACUUUUUCGUGGGGGAUAACGUAGGGAAACUUACGCUAAUACCGCAUACGACCUACGGGUGAAAGCAGGGGAUCUUCGGACCUUGCGCGAUUGAAUGAGCCGAUGUCGGAUUAGCUAGUUGGCGGGGUAAAGGCCCACCAAGGCGACGAUCCGUAGCUGGGCUGAGAGGAUGAUCAGCCACACUGGAACUGAGACACGGUCCAGCCUCCUACGGGAGGCAGCAGUGGGGAAUAUUGGACAAUGGGCGCAAGCCUGAUCCAGCCAUACCGCGUGGGCGAAGAAGGCCUUCGGGUUGUAAAGCCCUUUUGUUGGGAAAGAAAAGCAGCAGGUUAAUACCCCGCUGUUCUGACGGUACCCAAAGAAUAAGCACCGGCUAACUUCGUG